RNAcentral lists this ribosomal RNA (1287 nucleotides) under metagenome. RNAcentral's name for it is "bacterial SSU rRNA". It matches the Rfam family "Bacterial small subunit ribosomal RNA", at positions 242 to 1520 of the family's 1533-position model. The record is from RNAcentral.
UAGCUAGUUGGUGAGGUAAAGGCUUACCAAGGCGACGAUCUGUAGCGGGUCUGAGAGGAUGAUCCGCCACACUGGAACUGAGACACGGUCCAGACUCCUACGGGAGGCAGCAGUGGGGAAUUUUGGACAAUGGGGGCAACCCUGAUCCAGCCAUGCCGCGUGAGUGAAGAAGGCCUUCGGGUUGUAAAGCUCUUUCGGCCGGGAAGAAAUCGCAUGGGCCAAUACCCUGCGUGGAUGACGGUACCGGAAUAAGAAGCACCGGCUAACUACGUGCCAGCAGCCGCGGUAAUACGUAGGGUGCGAGCGUUAAUCGGAAUUACUGGGCGUAAAGCGUGCGCAGGCGGUUUUGUAAGACAGGCGUGAAAUCCCCGGGCUUAACCUGGGAACUGCGUUUGUGACUGCAAGGCUAGAGUACGGCAGAGGGGGGUGGAAUUCCACGUGUAGCAGUGAAAUGCGUAGAGAUGUGGAGGAACACCAAUGGCGAAGGCAGCCCCCUGGGUCGAUACUGACGCUCAUGCACGAAAGCGUGGGUAGCAAACAGGAUUAGAUACCCUGGUAGUCCACGCCCUAAACUAUGUCAACUAGGUGUUGGGUGGGUAAAACCAUUUAGUACCGUAGCUAACGCGUGAAGUUGACCGCCUGGGGAGUACGGCCGCAAGGUUAAAACUCAAAGGAAUUGACGGGGACCCGCACAAGCGGUGGAUGAUGUGGAUUAAUUCGAUGCAACGCGAAAAACCUUACCUACCCUUGACAUGCCAGGAACUUGCCAGAGAUGGCUUGGUGCCCGAAAGGGAGCCUGGACACAGGUGCUGCAUGGCUGUCGUCAGCUCGUGUCGUGAGAUGUUGGGUUAAGUCCCGCAACGAGCGCAACCCUUGUCGUUAAUUGCCAUCAUUUGGUUGGGCACUUUAACGAGACUGCCGGUGACAAACCGGAGGAAGGUGGGGAUGACGUCAAGUCCUCAUGGCCCUUAUGGGUAGGGCUUCACACGUCAUACAAUGGUCGGUACAAAGGGUUGCCAAGCCGCGAGGCGGAGCCAAUCCCAGAAAGCCGAUCGUAGUCCGGAUUGCAGGCUGCAACUCGCCUGCAUGAAGUCGGAAUCGCUAGUAAUCGUGGAUCAGCAUGUCACGGUGAAUACGUUCCCGGGUCUUGUACACACCGCCCGUCACACCAUGGGAGCGGGUUCCGCCAGAAGUAGGUAGCCUAACCGCAAGGGGGGCGCUUACCACGGCGGGGUUCGUGACUGGGGUGAAGUCGUAACAAGGUAGCCGUAGGGGAACCUGCGGCUG